UACGAAGGGGGCUAGCGUUGCUCGGAAUCACUGGGCGUAAAGGGUGCGUAGGCGGGUCUUUAAGUCAGGGGUGAAAUCCUGGAGCUCAACUCCAGAACUGCCUUUGAUACUGAUGAUCUGGAGAUCGGGAGAGGUUGGUGGAAUUCCGAGUGUAGAGGUGAAAUUCGUAGAUAUUCGGAGGAACACCAGAAGCGAAGGCGGCCAACUGGCCCGAUACUGACGCUGAGGCGCGAAAGCGUGGGGAGCAAACAGG
RNAcentral lists this ribosomal RNA (253 nucleotides) under uncultured bacterium. RNAcentral's name for it is "partial 16S ribosomal RNA". It matches the Rfam family "Bacterial small subunit ribosomal RNA", at positions 524 to 776 of the family's 1533-position model. The record is from RNAcentral.